CAGACGCAGCACGCAAGGGGCUUGGCCCGGAGCAGCUGGGCCCCGGGGAAGGUCCACACUCCGCAGAAGUGACCUUCGGGGAUGAUCCCCGGGGCCUGAUCUUCCACUGCCCCAGAAGGGGCACUUUGGUGAAGGUCCUCAUAGCAACAGACGCCACGCGCAGGCAUAGUCGUCUUUGUCAGCAAACAAAUCCACAGAAGCUGAGCCCGAAGGAACCCGCCUGAAAUCGGCAAUCUGCACCCAGAUGCUUCCUCUGCAUCAGGACCCGCUUGGCUCAUUUCCCCCCUGACUACUUGGAAGAGCCCCGAUUCGCCUCCAGGAGGA
Molecule: long non-coding RNA, 324 nt
Filed under: Ursus maritimus (polar bear)
Lineage: Eukaryota; Metazoa; Chordata; Mammalia; Carnivora; Ursidae
Description: lncRNA (ENSUMAG00000014021.1)
Source: RNAcentral